UACGUAGGGUGCGAGCGUUGUCCGGAUUUAUUGGGCGUAAAGAGCUCGUAGGCGGUUUGUCGCGUCGGCCGUGAAAUCUCCACGCUUAACGUGGAGCGUGCGGUCGAUACGGGCAGACUUGAGUUCGGUAGGGGAGACUGGAAUUCCUGGUGUAGCGGUGAAAUGCGCAGAUAUCAGGAGGAACACCCGUGGCGAAAGCGGCUCUCUGGGACGGUACUGACGCUGAGACGCGAAAGCGUGGGGAGCAAACAGG
Molecule: ribosomal RNA, 253 nt
Filed under: uncultured bacterium
Lineage: Bacteria
Description: partial 16S ribosomal RNA
Rfam family: Bacterial small subunit ribosomal RNA
Source: RNAcentral